AGAGUUUGAUCCUGGCUCAGAUUGAACGCUGGCGGCAGGCCUAACACAUGCAAGUCGAGCGGCAGCGGGAAAGUAGCUUGCUACUUUUGCCGGCGAGCGGCGGACGGGUGAGUANUGCCUGGGGAUCUGCCCAGUCGAGGGGGAUAACAGUUGGAAACCGACUGCUAAUACCGCAUACGCCCUACGGGGGUAAGGAGGGGACCUUCGGGCCUUUCGCGAUUGGAUGAACCCAGGUGGGAUUAGCUAGUUGGUAGGGGNAAUGGCUNACCAAGGNCGACGAUCCCUANCUGGUCUGAAGAGGAUGAUCAGCCCCCCUUGGAACUGAGAC
Molecule: ribosomal RNA, 328 nt
Filed under: uncultured soil bacterium
Lineage: Bacteria
Description: bacterial SSU rRNA
Rfam family: Bacterial small subunit ribosomal RNA
Source: RNAcentral